This 1512-nucleotide ribosomal RNA is filed under the name Vibrio sp. RNAcentral's name for it is "bacterial SSU rRNA". It matches the Rfam family "Bacterial small subunit ribosomal RNA". Lineage: Bacteria; Pseudomonadati; Pseudomonadota; Gammaproteobacteria; Vibrionales; Vibrionaceae. The record is from RNAcentral.
UCGAUUAGAGUUUGAUCCUGGCUCAGAUUGAACGCUGGCGGCAGGCCUAACACAUGCAAGUCGAGCGGUAACAGAAAGAAAGCUUGCUUUCUUUGCUGACGAGCGGCGGACGGGUGAGUAAUGCCUAGGAAGUUGCCCAGUAGAGGGGGAUAACCAUUGGAAACGAUGGCUAAUACCGCAUACUCUCUUCGGAGCAAAGCAGGGGACCUUCGGGCCUUGCGCUAUUGGAUACGCCUAGGUGGGAUUAGCUAGUUGGUGAGGUAAAGGCUCACCAAGGCGACGAUCCCUAGCUGGUCUGAGAGGAUGAUCAGCCACACUGGAACUGAGACACGGUCCAGACUCCUACGGGAGGCAGCAGUGGGGAAUAUUGCACAAUGGGGGAAACCCUGAUGCAGCCAUGCCGCGUGUGUGAAGAAGGCCUUCGGGUUGUAAAGCACUUUCAGCAGUGAGGAAGGUGGUGUACUUAAUACGUACAUCAUUUGACGUUAGCUGCAGAAGAAGCACCGGCUAACUCCGUGCCAGCAGCCGCGGUAAUACGGAGGGUGCGAGCGUUAAUCGGAAUUACUGGGCGUAAAGCGCAUGCAGGUGGUUUGUUAAGUCAGAUGUGAAAGCCCGGGGCUCAACCUCGGAAGGUCAUUUGAAACUGGCAAACUGGAGUACUGUAGAGGGGGGUAGAAUUUCAGUGUAGCGGUGAAAUGCGUAGAGAUCUGAAAGAAUACCAGUGGCGAAAGCGGCCCCCUGGACAGAUACUGACACUCAGAUGCGAAAGCGUGGGGAGCAAACAGGAUUAGAUACCCUGGUAGUCCACGCCGUAAACGAUGUCUACUUGGAAGGUUGCGGUCUUGAACUGUGGCUUUCGGAGCUAACGCGUUAAGUAGACCGCCUGGGGAGUACGGUCGCAAGAUUAAAACUCAAAUGAAUUGACGGGGGCCCGCACAAGCGGUGGAGCAUGUGGUUUAAUUCGAUGCAACGCGAAGAACCUUACCUACUCUUGACAUCCAGAGAACUUAGCAGAGAUGCUUUGGUGCCUUCGGGAGCUCUGAGACAGGUGCUGCAUGGCUGUCGUCAGCUCGUGUUGUGAAAUGUUGGGUUAAGUCCCGCAACGAGCGCAACCCUUAUCCUUGUUUGCCAGCACUUCGGGUGGGAACUCCAGGGAGACUGCCGGUGAUAAACCGGAGGAAGGUGGGGACGACGUCAAGUCAUCAUGGCCCUUACGAGUAGGGCUACACACGUGCUACAAUGGCGCAUACAGAGGGCGGCCAGCCAGCGAUGGUGAGCGAAUCCCAAAAAGUGCGUCGUAGUCCGGAUUGGAGUCUGCAACUCGACUCCAUGAAGUCGGAAUCGCUAGUAAUCGUGGAUCAGAAUGCCACGGUGAAUACGUUCCCGGGCCUUGUACACACCGCCCGUCACACCAUGGGAGUGGGCUGCAAAAGAAGUGGGUAGUUUAACCUUCGGGAGGACGCUCACCACCUUGUGGUUCAUGACUGGGGUGAAGUCGUAACAAGGUAACCA